This 682-nucleotide ribosomal RNA is filed under the name Fusarium oxysporum f. sp. cubense. RNAcentral's name for it is "SSU rRNA". It matches the Rfam family "Bacterial small subunit ribosomal RNA", at positions 291 to 940 of the family's 1533-position model. The record is from RNAcentral. Lineage: Eukaryota; Fungi; Ascomycota; Sordariomycetes; Hypocreales; Nectriaceae.
GCUAACGGCUGAACUGGCAACUUGGAGAAGUGGCAAGUCUUCCAGUAUGGGGAGCAAAACAGCUAUGGGUCAAGUCCGAUAUCUUUAGGAGAAGUCUUAUUGUGAGGGCGAGUUAUAUAACACCAUAGGACUGGCCGUCCCAUAUGAAAAGAUUAUAUUAGAAUUGAAUGAAGCUUUGUUUAUAUAUUGAUAAUGACAGUAUAUAUAUCGUGUCUUGACUAAUUGCGUGCCAGCAGUCGCGGUAAUACGUAAGAGACUAGUGUUAUUCAUCUUAAUUAGGUUUAAAGGGUACCCAGACGGUCAAUAUAGCUUAUAAAAUGUUAGUACUUGACUAGAGUUUUAUGUAAGAGGGCAGUACUUGAGGAGGAGAGAUGAAAUUUCGUGAUACCAAAGGGACUCUGUAAAGGCGAAGGCAGCCCUCUAUGUAAAAACUGACGUUGAAGGACGAAGGCACAGAGAACAAACAGGAUUAGAUACCCAAGUAGUCUUUGCAGUAAAUGAUGAAUGCCAUAGGUUAGAUUGAUCAAUUAUAGUCUAGGGUUAGUCUAGCAAACUAAUGCCCUAUGAUAUAAUUCAAAAUAUCUGGUCUAUAAAUGAAAGUGUAAGCAUUUCACCUCAAGAGUAAUGUGGCAACGCAGGAACUGAAAUCACUAGACCNUUUCUGACACCAGUAGUGAAGUAU